UCUACCCUCGGGUGGGGGAAUAACGUCCGGAAACGGACGCUAAUACCGCCAUAAUGCAGCGGCACCGCAAGGUGACAGUUGUUAAAGAUUUAUUGCCUGGGGAGGAGCUUGCGGCAGAUUAGCUUGUUGGUAAGGUAACGGCUUACCAAGGCUACGAUCUGUAUCCGGUCUAAGAGGACGGUCGGACACACUGACACUGAAUAACGGGUCAG
RNAcentral lists this ribosomal RNA (212 nucleotides) under uncultured bacterium. RNAcentral's name for it is "partial 16S ribosomal RNA". It matches the Rfam family "Bacterial small subunit ribosomal RNA", at positions 125 to 334 of the family's 1533-position model. The record is from RNAcentral.